AGUCGAACGAACUCUGGUAUUGAUUGGUGCUUGCAUCAUGAUUUACAUUUGAGUGAGUGGCGAACUGGUGAGUAACACGUGGGAAACCUGCCCAGAAGCGGGGGAUAACACCUGGAAACAGAUGCUAAUACCGCAUAACAACUUGGACCGCAUGGUCCGAGUUUGAAAGAUGGCUUCGGCUAUCACUUUUGGAUGGUCCCGCGGCGUAUUAGCUAGAUGGUGGGGUAACGGCUCACCAUGGCAAUGAUACGUAGCCGACCUGAGAGGGUAAUCGGCCACAUUGGGACUGAGACACGGCCCAAACUCCUACGGGAGGCAGCAGUAGGGAAUCUUCCACAAUGGACGAAAGUCUGAUGGAGCAACGCCGCGUGAGUGAAGAAGGGUUUCGGCUCGUAAAACUCUGUUGUUAAAGAAGAACAUAUCUGAGAGUAACUGUUCAGGUAUUGACGGUAUUUAACCAGAAAGCCACGGCUAACUACGUGCCAGCAGCCGCGGUAAUACGUAGGUGGCAAGCGUUGUCCGGAUUUAUUGGGCGUAAAGCGAGCGCAGGCGGUUUUUUAAGUCUGAUGUGAAAGCCUUCGGCUCAACCGAAGAAGUGCAUCGGAAACUGGGAAACUUGAGUGCAGAAGAGGACAGUGGAACUCCAUGUGUAGCGGUGAAAUGCGUAGAUAUAUGGAAGAACACCAGUGGCGAAGGCGGCUGUCUGGUCUGUAACUGACGCUGAGGCUCGAAAGUAUGGGUAGCAAACAGGAUUAGAUACCCUGGUAGUCCAUACCGUAAACGAUGAAUGCUAAGUGUUGGAGGGUUUCCGCCCUUCAGUGCUGCAGC
RNAcentral lists this ribosomal RNA (828 nucleotides) under Lactiplantibacillus plantarum. RNAcentral describes it as "bacterial SSU rRNA". It matches the Rfam family "Bacterial small subunit ribosomal RNA", at positions 60 to 852 of the family's 1533-position model. The record is from RNAcentral. Lineage: Bacteria; Bacillati; Bacillota; Bacilli; Lactobacillales; Lactobacillaceae.